GUCCCCGGCGCAAGUCGCUGUCAUGACUUUCGUUCUGUUUUGUGGUUUUCGGCCGAGUGCCGUGGUGCAUUAUGGAUUCACGGUCCUGUGUCUGCUCUUUGUUCUUCUGGUGUCGUGUCCAGUUCGCUGCCAGGAGACACUGACAAAUCGGAUGCGUGUGAUCAGCGAGGAUCUGGACCGGCAGCUGAAUGAUAUCAUGGCAUCGCAGAGUCUCAACUACACGACAAUGAACACGACCAAGCUGCUCUACAACGCCACCACGAAGUUCAACCCCAAGGGCAUGGGCCAGCUGUACAACGUGACCAACAUGUUCAUCGACUUCGUGCAGAGCAAGCAAGCAUAUCCCGAGGGAAUGUUCACUGUCGUGGACGGAACGCCGACCUUUCAGUACACCUUGUCCUCGUGGAAGAUCAUCGCCACGCAUUACGGUGGAUUAGCCGGUCUAACCUUGGUCGGACUCCUCCUAGCCGCCAUUUUACCUUGCGUGGGCUUUUUAUUCUGUUGCUGCAGGUGUGCUGGCCAUUGCGGUGCCAGGAAUCAACCGUUCGAUAAGAAACACGAUCAUUGUAGGAAAGUGAUGCUGAGCAUGGUGCUCAUGGCGGUCGCUACCAUUAUACUGUUCGGCGUGGUCUGCGCCUUCGUGACGAACGAGUACAUGCAAGACGGGACCAAGGAGUUUCCUCAUAACAUGAGGGUCAGCCUGAAAGACGUGAAACUGUAUCUGAGCAGCACGAAGGAGGAGAUCAAUUACAGCCUCAAGACUAAUUUCGACGAGCUGGAGAUUAAUCUGAACAACAUCCUCCAGGCCAGCGGCAGAAUUGUCACUGAACAACUCGCAGAGUACUCCCACGCGGUCUCGUUGACUAAUCUAAGCGACAUUGUGGCUAGCUUGGAGUCCAUUAAGGAGGAUCUCAAGAUCAUGCAUACGAUCACUCGCGAUCUAAGGACGAAUGCUAGCAAGCUGGACAUCGUUGUACGAGGCGUUAAGAACAAUCUGCUCCACACUCUCGCUGCUUGCAAGAGCCGAUAUUGCGAGGAGGUGCUGCACAUUUUCAACGUGAAUCAGAUGUCGGUUCAAGUAGACUUCGACAAGUACAUGGACCGAUACUUCCCCAAGUUGCCAAACGUCACGUCCGCCCUGCGCAAUAUCACCAUGCUGUUGGAGAGCAACAUCGUGUCGGAGGUGAGCCAGGGUAAGGAGUCGUUCCUGAAGAUUCAGGAGGACAUCCAACACGCCGUGAAUCAGACCAUUCCCAUGGUCAGCGCGAGCAUCGGGAGAGCCGGGGACUUUCUGGGGAUUCUCGCGAAGAACAUGACAAUGCUCAUCGAUAGGAUAAACGGCGACAUAGACAAGUCGUACAUGAAAGACCUGGAUGUCGCGCAAUCGCAUAUCGAUCAGUAUUCGCCGUACAGGUACUAUCUUGGUCUUGGAAUAUCCGGGAUUCUGUUAAUGAUCUUCAUAUGUCUAACCUUCGGCCUCUUCUGUGGCAUUUAUGGCAAGCGUCCAGACGGUUAUGGAGACGACUGCUGCAACAAGGGGUCUGGAGCACGAUUUCUUAUGAUGGCUGUUUGGAACAUCUUUCUUUUAACGAGCGUUCUGAUGGUGAUCACCGUGGUGCACAUGAUCGUCGGCGUUCUGGUGCAGAGAGCAGUUUGUGAGCCGUUAAAGAAUCCGCAGGAUAACAGGAUGUUUGCCUUGGUCGACGAAGUCGUUCAGAUCAAGAAGAUGCUGUACCCUGACAACCCUAAUGCCGAUAUCAAUAUGAGCUAUAUAGUCACACACUGUCAUCGGAACGAAACGCUGUAUAAAGUACUGAAGCUGGAAAACAUCUUCGACGUGGGCACCUUGCGCGAGUAUGCCGGCCGAUACGACAUAAACAACACUAUUCAGCAGUUGCGUCGCAAGAUCAGUCUUUCACCGGGCGUAGUCAUCCUGAGGAACAGCGCGAAAUCGAAACUGCACGAUCUCGCGCGAAGCGGCCUCAGUGAUAUCAAGUUCUAUCAAUACAUGGAGAUUCUCGAGGAUAAUAUCACGAACAUUAAUCUGCUACAUCUAGCGCACGAAUUGUUCAUUAUAGCGAGUAAGCUGGGCGACGAUGGACAAGAGGACAUUCGUCACAGUGUGCAGAAUAACCGGAUUGAGUUAGAACAUAUUCAUCACCAGUUGGUGAGACCUAUGGCAAUGCUCAGUGAACAAUUAGUCGCGAGAGCUAUGGCGCUCGAGGAAAAGAUAAGGUUUAACCACAGUUCCAUGGCGGAAGCCAUUCACAAUCUCGUGGACGAAGUGACAAAGGCGCAGCAGUUCUUGAAUAAAGACGGGCCAGAAUUCGUACAGCAACUGGCAACCAAAUUCGGAAACGCUUUCCUGCGUCAAGUCGACGAUUUCCUCGAUCAAGUUACCGAUAGUGCGCUGUUCAAGGUAGGAAAAUGUGGUCCCGUUUCGAAUGCAUAUGACGCCGCACUGGUCGCAGGAUGCAACAAGAUCUUAGACCCAUUUAAUGGUUUCUGGGUGAGCGUGGGCUGGUGUUUAAUCCUCUUCAUCCCGACCAUCGUGUUGUGCGUGAAACUGAGCGCGCUGUACCAGAAAUCGGAUCCCUAUCCUGGACCUCUAGUCGAAGCUGAAUAUUUGUAUGACGCGUACGCAGACAGGGAUAACAUACCCCUUACUCAUGUUCACGACAAGAAAUACGUGUCACAUAGCAGAGACCCUUACGCAAAGUACGAAAGCUACGAUGGUCCCGCGGGUGGAUACAGUGAACGGGAAAAAGGGCCGGGAGCGCACCAGAGCACGUCCCACUCCCAUCACUAUUCCAGAUACUCUGACGUGGCGCCGAAGUGAGUGGGAACCUUGCGGGGGGGCAACUUCUCGCGUCUCUCGAUAUGCCUCUGCACAAAUUGUGACUUCCCUAAUGGUGGUCCUCCUGGAUACCAGCCAGCUGCAGCGGCUCCACCUCCGCUAAGCAC
RNAcentral lists this unclassified non-coding RNA (2964 nucleotides) under Eufriesea mexicana. RNAcentral describes it as "prominin-like protein, transcript variant X1". The record is from RNAcentral. Lineage: Eukaryota; Metazoa; Arthropoda; Insecta; Hymenoptera; Apidae.